GACGCCGGGAGCCCCGCCUGCUUGCCCAACCCGGCCGGGUCUGGCCCCAAGGGGUCCCGUCGCCCGCCUUCUAUCCCCGCCUCCUGCCCUCGGGCUAGGGUGCCGCUAGCCGAGGUGCGCCCGGACGCCCUGCCACCCCAGCGCCCUCUGAGCCCGGAGCUAGCCGAGCAUCCUGAGCACCGGAGCGCCCCCUCCCUCCCUGCUGCUUUGGCUGCCCUUGGCAGUCCCAGCUCCGCCCCGCCCGGCCGCCCCAGACGGCAACGGCAGCUCAAAACCAGAUUAAAAUAAAACGUUAAUCCGCCCUUCUCCUUUUUAGCUUCUAGUUCUUCCCAAUCGACCCCCGCAGAUCUGGCACCCUAGAAGCCCCUGUAAAAUGAGGGUGGUGCUUAGCCUAUGCUCCCACCAAACCUAACC
RNAcentral lists this long non-coding RNA (414 nucleotides) under Homo sapiens (human). RNAcentral's name for it is "HSALNT0343315". The record is from RNAcentral. Lineage: Eukaryota; Metazoa; Chordata; Mammalia; Primates; Hominidae.